This 253-nucleotide ribosomal RNA is filed under the name uncultured bacterium. RNAcentral's name for it is "partial 16S ribosomal RNA". It matches the Rfam family "Bacterial small subunit ribosomal RNA", at positions 524 to 776 of the family's 1533-position model. The record is from RNAcentral.
UACGUAGGAUCCAAGCGUUAUCCGGAAUUACUGGGCGUAAAGCGUGAGCAGGUGGUGAAUCAGGUCAGAUACUAAAUCUUAGGGCUCAACCUUAAGCUGCGAUCUGAAACCGGUUUACUAGAGGUCGGUAGAGGCAAGCGGAAUUUGUAGUGUAGCAGUGAAAUGCGUAGAUAUUACAAGGAACACCAAUGGCGAAGGCAGCUUGCUGGGCCGCACCUGACACUCAGUCACGAAAGCGUGGGGAGCGAACAGG